CGAGUUGGCCGGGCGGCCGCGGACCGCCGAAAGGCGGUUCGAGGAAAGUCCGGACUUCACAGAGCAGGGUGAUUGCUAACGGCAAUCCGAGGUGACUCGCGGGACAGUGCCACAGAAAACAAACCGCCACCCGCGCGGGUGGUAAGGGUGAAACGGUGCGGUAAGAGCGCACCAGCACGCCGGGUGACCGGCGUGGCUAGGCAAACCCCACCCGAAGCAAGGCCAAGAAGGCCGCACGCGAGUGCGGCUGCGCAGGCGCCCGAGGGCUGCUCGCCCGAGCCUGCGGGUAGGCCGCUCGAGGCACCCGGCGACGGUGUGCCCAGAUGGAUGGUCGCCGCUCCGCCGCCGUUGCUCAACGCACGGCGGCGGGGAACAGAAUCCGGCUUACAGGCCAACUCGCCCG
RNAcentral lists this RNase P RNA (403 nucleotides) under Mycobacterium saskatchewanense. Its description in RNAcentral is "Bacterial RNase P class A". It matches the Rfam family "Bacterial RNase P class A". From Rfam's summary of the family: Ribonuclease P (RNase P) is a ubiquitous endoribonuclease, found in archaea, bacteria and eukarya as well as chloroplasts and mitochondria. Its best characterised activity is the generation of mature 5'-ends of tRNAs by cleaving the 5'-leader elements of precursor-tRNAs. Cellular RNase Ps are ribonucleoproteins. Lineage: Bacteria; Bacillati; Actinomycetota; Actinomycetes; Mycobacteriales; Mycobacteriaceae. The record is from Rfam by way of RNAcentral.